CACGUAGGGAGCAAGCGUUGUCCGGAUUUAUUGGGCGUAAAGAGCUCGUAGGUGGUUCGGUAAGUCAGGUGUGAAACCUCCAGGCUCAACCUGGAGACGCCACUUGAUACUGCUGUGACUGGAGUCCGGUAGGGGAGCGUGGAAUUCCCGGUGUAGCGGUGAAAUGCGCAGAUAUCAGGAGGAACACCAGCGGCGAAGGCGGCGCUCUGGGCCGGUACUGACACUGAGGAGCGAAAGCGUGGGUAGCAAACAGG
Molecule: ribosomal RNA, 254 nt
Filed under: uncultured bacterium
Lineage: Bacteria
Description: partial 16S ribosomal RNA
Rfam family: Bacterial small subunit ribosomal RNA
Source: RNAcentral